CUGCAACUCGACUACAUNAAGCUGGAAUCGCUAGUAAUCGCGAAUCAGCAUGUCGCGGUGAAUACGUUCCCGGGUCUUGUACACACCGCCCGUCACACCAUGGGAGUUGGUAACGCCCGAAGCCAGUGACCCAACCUUAAGAGGAGGGAGCUGUCGAAGGUGGGACCGAUAACUGGGGUGAAGUCGUAACAAGGUAUC
RNAcentral lists this ribosomal RNA (198 nucleotides) under uncultured bacterium. RNAcentral's name for it is "partial 16S ribosomal RNA". It matches the Rfam family "Bacterial small subunit ribosomal RNA", at positions 1305 to 1500 of the family's 1533-position model. The record is from RNAcentral.